Molecule: ribosomal RNA, 232 nt
Filed under: Staphylococcus aureus
Lineage: Bacteria; Bacillati; Bacillota; Bacilli; Caryophanales; Staphylococcaceae
Description: partial 16S ribosomal RNA
Rfam family: Bacterial small subunit ribosomal RNA
Source: RNAcentral
UUUAUGGAGAGUUUGAUCCUGGCUCAGGAUGAACGCUGGCGGCGUGCCUAAUACAUGCAAGUCGAGCGAACGGACGAGAAGCUUGCUUCUCUGAUGUUAGCGGCGGACGGGUGAGUAACACGUGGAUAACCUACCCAUAAGACUGGGAUAACUUCGGGAAACCGGAGCUAAUACCGGAUAAUAUUUUGAACCGCAUGGUUCAAAAGUGAAAGACGGUCUUACUGUCACUUAU